CAAAUACUCCCUCCGUCCAGAAAUACUUGUCAUCAAAAUGGAUAAAAGGAAAUGUAUCUAGACGUAUUUUAGUUUUAGAUACAUCUAUUUUUAUCCAUUCUGAUGACAAGUAUUUUUGGACGGAGGGAGUAGAAA
Non-coding RNA from Triticum aestivum (bread wheat), 135 nucleotides. The record is from Rfam. NCBI's taxonomy places the organism in Eukaryota, Viridiplantae, Streptophyta, Magnoliopsida, Poales, Poaceae.